Molecule: non-coding RNA, 73 nt
Organism: Jatropha curcas
Lineage: Eukaryota; Viridiplantae; Streptophyta; Magnoliopsida; Malpighiales; Euphorbiaceae
Source: Rfam
GGAGAUGUAGCUUAGAUGAUAGAGCGCUCGCUUUGCAAGCGGGAGGUACGGGGAGCGAUACUCUGCAUUUCCA